AUGUGUCAUAGACACAGACAACAGCAUGGUGAUUACCGGAGAGAGGGGGGUGGAGGAGGUAGGAGAGAGUUUAGGAGGAAUAAAUGGUGAUGGAAGGAGACUUGACUUGGGGUGGUGAACACAUAAUACAGUAUACAGAUG
Long non-coding RNA from Pipistrellus kuhlii (Kuhl's pipistrelle), 141 nucleotides. RefSeq lists it as uncharacterized. The transcript has 4 exons. The record is from RefSeq and is a predicted model, not a curated record. Lineage: Eukaryota; Metazoa; Chordata; Mammalia; Chiroptera; Vespertilionidae.